Molecule: unclassified non-coding RNA, 279 nt
Filed under: Spiromastigoides warcupii
Lineage: Eukaryota; Fungi; Ascomycota; Eurotiomycetes; Onygenales; Spiromastigoidaceae
Description: Spiromastix warcupii partial internal transcribed spacer region
Rfam family: Eukaryotic small subunit ribosomal RNA (bases 1-46)
Source: RNAcentral
AAGUCGUAACAAGGUUUCCGUAGGUGAACCUGCGGAAGGAUCAUUACCGUGCCUGUAGUUGUUGGCGGCUCCUCCGGGGGUUCGUUCGGCGCUACGUUCGGCCCAACCGUGUCUAUCUAUACCUGUUGCUUCGGCGGGCCUGCGGGCUUGCUCGCUGCCGGGAGUCCCUAAAGCUCCGGGCGCGUGUCCGCCGAAGACGCCUAGAACUACUGUUGAACUUAGCGGUCUGAGUGGGCUUUAUAAUCGUUAAAACUUUCAACAACGGAUCUCUUGGUUCCA